AUAGUGGUGGUUCAGUGGUAGAAUUCUCAUCUUCCAUUCUAGAGACCUGGGUUCGAUUCCUGGCCAAUGCA
RNAcentral lists this transfer RNA (71 nucleotides) under Loxodonta africana (African savanna elephant). It matches the Rfam family "tRNA". Rfam says of the family: Transfer RNA (tRNA) molecules are approximately 80 nucleotides in length. Their secondary structure includes four short double-helical elements and three loops (D, anti-codon, and T loops). Lineage: Eukaryota; Metazoa; Chordata; Mammalia; Proboscidea; Elephantidae. The record is from Rfam by way of RNAcentral.